Molecule: transfer RNA, 76 nt
Filed under: Syntrophobacteraceae bacterium CG2_30_61_12
Lineage: Bacteria; Pseudomonadati; Thermodesulfobacteriota; Syntrophobacteria; Syntrophobacterales; Syntrophobacteraceae
Description: tRNA-Val
Rfam family: tRNA
About the family: Transfer RNA (tRNA) molecules are approximately 80 nucleotides in length. Their secondary structure includes four short double-helical elements and three loops (D, anti-codon, and T loops).
Source: RNAcentral
GGGCGGGUAACUCAGCGGUGAGAGUGCCAUCCUCACACGGUGGAAGUCGAGAGUUCGAAUCUCUCUCCGCCCACCA